UCCGGGGUCGUCUAAUGGUAGGACAGCGGUUUUUGGAGCCGCCUGUAGGGGUUCGAAUCCUCUCCCCGGAG
RNAcentral lists this transfer RNA (71 nucleotides) under Actinomycetota bacterium. RNAcentral describes it as "Actinobacteria bacterium tRNA-Gln". It matches the Rfam family "tRNA". From Rfam's summary of the family: Transfer RNA (tRNA) molecules are approximately 80 nucleotides in length. Their secondary structure includes four short double-helical elements and three loops (D, anti-codon, and T loops). Further hydrogen bonds mediate the characteristic L-shaped molecular structure. tRNAs have two regions of fundamental functional importance: the anti-codon, which is responsible for specific mRNA codon recognition, and the 3' end, to which the tRNAs corresponding amino acid is attached (by aminoacyl-tRNA synthetases). tRNAs cope with the degeneracy of the genetic code in two manners: having more than one tRNA (with a specific anti-codon) for a particular amino acid; and 'wobble' base-pairing, i.e. permitting non-standard base-pairing at the 3rd anti-codon position. Lineage: Bacteria; Bacillati; Actinomycetota. The record is from RNAcentral.